RNAcentral lists this ribosomal RNA (435 nucleotides) under Biomphalaria straminea. Its description in RNAcentral is "partial 16S ribosomal RNA". The stretch from base 1 to 153 matches the Rfam family "Archaeal large subunit ribosomal RNA", at positions 1888 to 2086 of the family's 2987-position model. The record is from RNAcentral. Lineage: Eukaryota; Metazoa; Mollusca; Gastropoda; Planorbidae.
UCGCCUGUUUUACAAAAACAUAGUUUAAGGAAAUAAUCUUAAAUGAAUUCUGCCCAGUGAUUUUUUUUUAAAUGGCCGCAGUACCUUGACUGUGCUAAGGUAGCAUAAUCAAUUGGCUUCUAAUUAAAGUCUGGAAUGAAAGGAAAUAUGAAGUAAUUCUAUCUUAAAGGAUUUUUUUUGAAUUUAUUUAAAUGAUGAAAAUAUCAUUUUAUAGAAAAAAGACGAGAAGACCCUUAGAGUUUUGAUAUUUAUAUAUUUUUGUUGGGGCGACAGGUAAACAUAUAACUUUACGAAUUAUCAUUGAUCGAUUUUUUAUAAGAAUAAUAAAACUACCUUAGGGAUAACAGCAUUAUAUUUUUUUUUAUGAUUGUGACCUCGAUGUUGGACUAGGAACUUUAUGGCUAGCCGUCAAAAAAGAUUGUCGUUCGAAUACAU